AUUGAACGCUGGCGGCAUGCCUUACACAUGUAAGUCGAACGGUAACAGGUCUUCGGAUGCUGACGAGUGGCGAACGGGUGAGUAAUACAUCGGAACGUGCCUAGUAGUGGGGGAUAACUACUCGAAAGAGUGGCUAAUACCGCAUGAGAUCUACGGAUGAAAGCAGGGGAUCGCAAGACCUUGUGCUACUAGAGCGGCCGAUGGCAGAUUAGGUAGUUGGUGGGAUAAAAGCUUACCAAGCCGACGAUCUGUAGCUGGUCUGAGAGGACGAUCAGCCACACUGGGACUGAGACACGGCCCAGACUCCUACGGGAGGCAGCAGUGGGGAAUUUUGGACAAUGGGCGAAAGCCUGAUCCAGCAAUGCCGCGUGCAGGAUGAAGGCCUUCGGGUUGUAAACUGCUUUUGUACGGAACGAAAAGACUCUGGUUAAUACCUGGGGUCCAUGACGGUACCGUAAGAAUAAGCACCGGCUAACUACGUGCCAGCCGCCGCCGUAA
RNAcentral lists this ribosomal RNA (498 nucleotides) under uncultured bacterium. Its description in RNAcentral is "partial 16S ribosomal RNA". It matches the Rfam family "Bacterial small subunit ribosomal RNA", at positions 30 to 523 of the family's 1533-position model. The record is from RNAcentral.